AAUAAAGUGCCUGACAAAAGGAAUAUUUUGAUAGAAUAGAUAAUGUGGUAUAUCUACCACCUUUAUUA
This 68-nucleotide transfer RNA is filed under the name Davidius lunatus. RNAcentral describes it as "tRNA-Ile". The record is from RNAcentral. Lineage: Eukaryota; Metazoa; Arthropoda; Insecta; Odonata; Gomphidae.